UACGUAGGGUGCGAGCGUUAAUCGGAAUUACUGGGCGUAAAGCGUGCGCAGGCGGUUCGUUGUGUCGGUGGUGAAAGCCCCGGGCUUAACCUGGGAAUGGCCAUGGAAACUGGCGAACUGGAGUGUGGCAGAGGGGGGUGGAAUUCCGCGUGUAGCAGUGAAAUGCGUAGAGAUGCGGAGGAACACCGAUGGCGGAGGCAGCCCCCUGGGCUAGCACUGACGCUCAGGCACGAAAGCGUGGGGAGCAAACAGG
This 253-nucleotide ribosomal RNA is filed under the name uncultured bacterium. Its description in RNAcentral is "partial 16S ribosomal RNA". It matches the Rfam family "Bacterial small subunit ribosomal RNA", at positions 524 to 776 of the family's 1533-position model. The record is from RNAcentral.